RNAcentral lists this microRNA precursor (125 nucleotides) under Daucus carota subsp. sativus. RNAcentral describes it as "sRNA DCAR_mi00222". The record is from RNAcentral. Lineage: Eukaryota; Viridiplantae; Streptophyta; Magnoliopsida; Apiales; Apiaceae.
UAACCCUGUUAUUGAUGGGUUUUGUAAGUGUGGAAAUGUCGACAAGGCAAAUGUGAUUCUUAGAGAAAUGGAGGAGAAAAAAUGUAAACCUGAUAAACUGACUUUCACCAUUCUUAUACUUGGAC